This 1372-nucleotide ribosomal RNA is filed under the name uncultured bacterium. RNAcentral describes it as "bacterial SSU rRNA". It matches the Rfam family "Bacterial small subunit ribosomal RNA", at positions 28 to 1381 of the family's 1533-position model. The record is from RNAcentral.
GAUGAACGCUGGCGGCGUGCCUAAUACAUGCAAGUCGAGCGAACGGACGAGAAGCUUGCUUCUCUGAUGUUAGCGGCGGACGGGUGAGUAACACGUGGAUAACCUACCUAUAAGACUGGGAUAACUUCGGGAAACCGGAGCUAAUACCGGAUAAUAUUUUGAACCGCAUGGUUCAAAAGUGAAAGACGGUCUUGCUGUCACUUAUAGAUGGAUCCGCGCUGCAUUAGCUAGUUGGUAAGGUAACGGCUUACCAAGGCAACGAUGCAUAGCCGACCUGAGAGGGUGAUCGGCCACACUGGAACUGAGACACGGUCCAGACUCCUACGGGAGGCAGCAGUAGGGAAUCUUCCGCAAUGGGCGAAAGCCUGACGGAGCAACGCCGCGUGAGUGAUGAAGGUCUUCGGAUCGUAAAACUCUGUUAUUAGGGAAGAACAUAUGUGUAAGUAACUGUGCACAUCUUGACGGUACCUAAUCAGAAAGCCACGGCUAACUACGUGCCAGCAGCCGCGGUAAUACGUAGGUGGCAAGCGUUAUCCGGAAUUAUUGGGCGUAAAGCGCGCGUAGGCGGUUUUUUAAGUCUGAUGUGAAAGCCCACGGCUCAACCGUGGAGGGUCAUUGGAAACUGGAAAACUUGAGUGCAGAAGAGGAAAGUGGAAUUCCAUGUGUAGCGGUGAAAUGCGCAGAGAUAUGGAGGAACACCAGUGGCGAAGGCGACUUUCUGGUCUGUAACUGACGCUGAUGUGCGAAAGCGUGGGGAUCAAACAGGAUUAGAUACCCUGGUAGUCCACGCCGUAAACGAUGAGUGCUAAGUGUUAGGGGGUUUCCGCCCCUUAGUGCUGCAGCUAACGCAUUAAGCACUCCGCCUGGGGAGUACGACCGCGAGGUUGAAACUCAAAGGAAUUGACGGGGACCCGCACAAGCGGUGGAGCAUGUGGUUUAAUUCGAAGCAACGCGAAGAACCUUACCAAAUCUUGACAUCCUUUGACAACUCUAGAGAUAGAGCCUUCCCCUUCGGGGGACAAAGUGACAGGUGGUGCAUGGUUGUCGUCAGCUCGUGUCGUGAGAUGUUGGGUUAAGUCCCGCAACGAGCGCAACCCUUAAGCUUAGUUGCCAUCAUUAAGUUGGGCACUCUAAGUUGACUGCCGGUGACAAACCGGAGGAAGGUGGGGAUGACGUCAAAUCAUCAUGCCCCUUAUGAUUUGGGCUACACACGUGCUACAAUGGACAAUACAAAGGGCAGCGAAACCGCGAGGUCAAGCAAAUCCCAUAAAGUUGUUCUCAGUUCGGAUUGUAGUCUGCAACUCGACUACAUGAAGCUGGAAUCGCUAGUAAUCGUAGAUCAGCAUGCUACGGUGAAUACGUUCCCGGGUCU